GUGUCAGCCGCCGCGGUAAUACGGAGGGUGCAAACGUUGCUCGGAAUCAUUGGGCGUAAAGCGCGUGUAGGCGGCUUGUUAAGUUGAGUGUGAAAGCCCUGGGCUUAACCCAGGAAGUGCGCUCAAAACUGGCGAGCUAGAGUACGGGAGAGGGUAGUGGAAUUCCCGGUGUAGAGGUGAAAUUCGUAGAUAUCGGGAGGAACACCAGUGGCGAAGGCGGCUACCUGGACCGAUACUGACGCUGAGACGCGAAAGCGUGGGUAGCAAACAGGAUUAGAUACCCUGGUAGUCCACGCUGUAAACGAUGAGUGCUAGGUGUUGCGGGUAUUGACCCCUGCGGCGCCGUAGCUAACGCAUUAAGCACUCCGCCUGGGGAGUACGGACGCAAGUUUAAA
RNAcentral lists this ribosomal RNA (395 nucleotides) under uncultured bacterium. RNAcentral's name for it is "bacterial SSU rRNA". It matches the Rfam family "Bacterial small subunit ribosomal RNA", at positions 505 to 898 of the family's 1533-position model. The record is from RNAcentral.